Long non-coding RNA from Carassius auratus (goldfish), 684 nucleotides. RefSeq lists it as uncharacterized. The transcript has 3 exons. The record is from RefSeq and is a predicted model, not a curated record. Lineage: Eukaryota; Metazoa; Chordata; Actinopteri; Cypriniformes; Cyprinidae.
AUUAAUUAUUUUUUCUAUUCUUUACUUUUAUAUGCUUCCUGAACUUGCCUUUUAUAUAUUUAUUUUUGGCUAAAAAAAGUUUGUACAUUUUAUAACAAAUGUCCUACAACCAGUUCUAAAUCAUGUGGGGGAAAAGGCGCCUUCUUAGAGAUUCAGCCUCUCUUCCAGUUCGUAUGUCGUUAGGAGAAUCUACAGUCCAACAAUGGGACUUGCAAGAAAGAUUUUAACGCUCUGUGAGAAUAAGGGCGUAAAAGGAAACCGAAAAUAACUAAAUGGCUUCAAAAAAACAGUCUAAUGGCUUCAAGAAGAAAUGCAGAAUAUGUAAAAAAAAUGAAAUUAAGGAAGACGCAAAACAAAGAUGGAUACCAAUGGAUAUGUCAACAAAGAGCACACAAUGAAAAAGUGACAAAAUCAUGCAGGUCAGGAUCAAUAUUCGACGAGACCAAGACAAGUUUACAAAAUUGGAUGACUUUUAUAUACAGAUUCAGUCAAGGUUUACGUUUACGCCAAGUCGACAUGGUCCAGGAUGGCCUUGCUGGAAGCUCUGCCACCAUUACUAAAAUGACCCGGAAAAUGAGAUUAGUCUGCAGGAAAGCCUUGGAGAUGUUCAAAAGGAAGACAGGAAAGGCAUGGGUGGAAGAAGGGAAUUUACUGUGAUAGAUGAAAGCAACAUCCGCCACAAAA